Long non-coding RNA from Siniperca chuatsi (mandarin fish), 600 nucleotides. RefSeq lists it as uncharacterized. The record is from RefSeq and is a predicted model, not a curated record. Lineage: Eukaryota; Metazoa; Chordata; Actinopteri; Centrarchiformes; Sinipercidae. The transcript is spliced from 2 exons.
CUUCCGAACAAAUCGAAAGUGUUUGGGACUUGCAGGACUCGCAGCCAGAAACCGUUUCAUGCUCGUUAGUGACGCUGCUUUUGUGUUACAGUGAUGUUUAAUCUUCAGGUGACUUCGACAACUAUGGAGCUUCUUCCUCUCGUGUGUCUCUGUCUCCUGACUCGGUCUGGAACAACGUUUGCUGAAGAAGCACAGGUGGAGUCAUUUCAUGCCCGCCUCCUCCUGGUUCACUACAGUCUCUAACAGACCUGCUGCGCAGUAUUGUGAUGUUGACCAUGUAGCGGUCUUUGGCAGCGGAUGUUCGGGGCGUCGCCUCCGUCCUGCUGAGCGAAACGCGCCGCUGAUUCCGAGCGAAGCUUCUUCGCGUCAAACCCGAUUCAUUGUUGCGACACAUCUCUGAUAUUUCUGAUCAGAUCUGAACUCUUGUCCGCCACCUGAGGGCUGCUGAGAGGUCUGUUGGUUUUUACUGAGCAGGAAAUAAGAAGAAGAAUCAAAUAAGAAGCAGGGGAAGUUGUUCCUCCCCUCUUCCCCUUUAGACCCCGCCUCAUUUUAAAUCCAGAUCCAAAGCCGUGACGAUGUUCAGAAACAGAAAUAAAUGAA